UACAAGUGCAGUAUGGGAUGAAAAUGAGUGCCAGAAACAGACAAGAGAAGGUGAGGUUCCACCAUGAAUACAGCCAUACAGACAGAGAACAAUGUACAGGGUGGAACCGUCCACUUGUUCACUGGAUAUACUUUCCUGAAGCUCUGAGAAGAGGUCUGAGCUUUAAGAGAGAAAUGUAUGAACUCCAUGUGCACAGAUGGUCCUGAAGACACAUGUGGGAUCUGACCCUGACCACAGGUGCAGUGAGACAGCGGCUCCACCUCUUCAAGCCUCAAGGCCUCAACUGCAAAUAGCAACACACAGGGCUGUGCAGAGGACUGAGUGAGAUCAUGCCUGCAAAGUGCCCAGGACUGUGCCUGACUCACAGCAAGGGCUCCGUGUUGCCUAUAAUGAACAUUAUCUCUAGAGACUACAGACUCUGAUGGGCCGGGAACAUGGGUGAGCCUGAGACUAGCCUGACGCAUGGAGCUGGGACCACCAGAGAAGGCCCAAGGAGUCACAGGAAGGAAAGUCCACUGAUGCCUACUGGUUCCUAAUCUGUGUUCACUGUGUCAUAGCUGCUCUCAGAGCCUUAUCCAACCUUUACCAACGACCUCAUGACAUGGCCACUAUUGGGUCUGGUUUGCAGGUCUUCUGAAUUUCAGGUGCUGAGGGGGUGCUACUGGAAAUUGAGAAGUUAUUCUGCUGGGACGUGGCCAUGCCCGGGAACCAGUAACUCCAUAACACGACCUGAGCCUGCAGCCUGCCAAGUCCCUGGUGGGAGGAGGAGAGCCGUUGGGGAUUCCCCAAGAAGCCACCUGAGCAGGAAUAGGGCAGAAACAUCAGAGAGUGGAGAAACAGCCUCUCUCUUGGGAGGAAUGUGAUCAAGAGGAAUGAAGAGAAGAAUGAGUUCAUGAAUCCCAAGACAGACAGGCGAGUACACCUAUCUAGAGCCAAAGAGACAGAGAGAAAGAGAGAUUGCCCACAAUGUGAGCAGACCUGAGCCAGUGCAGACGUAUCCCUGGUUAAGGUAUAGACAAAUGCUUAU
Molecule: long non-coding RNA, 1027 nt
Organism: Rhinopithecus roxellana (golden snub-nosed monkey)
Lineage: Eukaryota; Metazoa; Chordata; Mammalia; Primates; Cercopithecidae
Exons: 3
Source: RefSeq, a predicted model, not a curated record